AAAGCAGCAAGGAAGCAAGGAAGAAAGAAAGGAAGGAGGGAAGGAAUGAAGGAAGGAAGGAAGGAAAGAUGAAAUGAAGGAAGAAAUAGAUAGAGUGUCAGAUAGAGAGUGACAGAGUGAUAGAUGUAUAGAUAAAUGGAUGCAAGGAAGGAAGAACGGAAGGAAAGAAGGACAAAAGGAAGGAAAGAAGGAAGGAACGAAGGAAUGAAGGAAGGUAGGAAAAAAGGAAGGAAGGAAGAAAAGAAAGGAAUAGAUAGAUUGAUAGAUAGACUGACUGACAGAUUGAGAGAUGUACAGAUAAAAAGAUGGACGGAAAGAAGGAAGAAAAAAGAAAAGAAGAAAGGAACAAAGAAAUGAAGGAAGGAAGAAAGGAGGGAAAGAAGGAAGGAAGGAAGGAAGGAAGAAAGGAAGGAAAGAAGGAAGGAAGGAAGGGUUAGAUAGCUUGAUAGAUAGACAGACUGACAGAAAAAUAGACAGGCAGAUUAGGAGAUGGACAGAUAGAUAGAUAGAUAGAUAGAUAGAUAGAUAGAUAGAUAGAUAGAUAGAUAGAUAGAUCAGUUCUCACAUAUUUUCAUUUACUUGCUUGUUGGAGGGUCAUUUAAUCAUAAACAUGUUGAUCUAUAAUAUCCAGAUUUCUCUCAGUGAAGUAGCAUCAAUCCUCCUCUAGGUGGCAGUAGUUCACCACACUGCUGACUCAGCUGACAGAUUUCAACAGAAUUAAAACAGUGAACAUAAUCUGUAACACAACAGCACAUCUUUCUUUAUAGAAAUAUAAUCUACACAUUUUUAUUCAGAAGCUUCUCCUGGUAUUUCCUUAAAGAAGAAAAAAGUGUCCUCAUUGAUUUCCUAUACCUGCUCUGUGUCUUUCUCUACAUACAGGAUGAUUUAUGAAGACAGCGCAGCACCUGUGGGUGGGGUUCGCUGUCAGUCACCUGCUGUGUUACAGGAUCACGAGCGCUCAAUGCCAUAUCAUAUUAGCAGUGGGGUAAAACACAUCCUUCACUUAAACCACAGGGAGACACUGCAAUCCCAGAGUUAAUGCGAAUAUACAGUACGCCAAACAUGAUCCUGUACAGUCUGACGCCUCCUCCAUUUAACAUGACCAGAACGACAUGGAAUCCCCCGAGGACCAGUUUAAUGACUGUAAGGCAUUUUAAAUCGAGUUGCUGCAAAAUGCAAAUAAGUCCACAGUGAUUGUCAUGAGAUUAAAAAUGGAGCCUGACAGAGAGAGAGACUUGCUGGUGUGGAUGGUGGCCUGUGAGGCCCAGUCUUGGCCCCGAACAAGGACGUUUGAACCUUGUUUAUUGUCUGCGCUGAUCUCCUCUCAGGGCGGUGGCUGAAAAUGAGCUUAGUACGGUGACAUAAGGCACUAGGCUGUUGUUUUUCCCAAGAGGAGAGGCUGCAGAUGCACACUGAGAGCUUAAAAUAAUAAAUACACAGAUAUUAACAUUCAGGCCCUGAAGGUGGAGAGGAAAUACAAAAACAAAUGCCAUGUUAGCGCUUCCCUCUCUGCUUGCCCUUGGUGUCGGGGCCGUGCAGAACAACACUUUCCACUCUUUCAUCUCCUGAUGUCCAUACUUGGCAGGAUGCCGAGGCGCUGUUGCUAACGGCUGCAUGGACUUGUUUACUCAGACAGUUAAACAAUACACUUACAUAAAAAGGACAGCAGAAAUUAUAAAUGAUAUAUGGACGUACUGCAGCCAGGCAGCACAGUUUCAGCUCGUUUUUGUCUUUUUGGAAACCCCCUCUCUUUUCAGAUCCUACAAAACACUUUGAUUGAAAUCAGAAGCGGGGAAAAUGUUGAGCGAUAUGUCAACAUUUCCAUUUCGGUGGGUCAGAAUCUGAAUGCCGCGGGAACACAUUUGAGUAUGCAGGGACUCUAAAUGUCACUGUUGCAGUUAGAUGACAAGGCUUUUUGUUUCCCAGUGGGCCAGGUGCAUUGAAGUGUCAUUUUGUCUUUCUCUCAAGCUCCCUGUGCAGCAAAGCAACCAAAUGUCAGGUCUCUGGUUGCCCGUGCAGAGGAAAGACCAGGGUUCGGAUUAGGGUGAGACCGAUAUGGAUUUUUUGGGGCCGAUGCCGAUUAUUAGGGGGGAGAAUCCGAUUACCAAAUAAUCGGCCAAUUUUUUAAUUUUUUAUGAAGUUAUAAAAAUAUAUAUAUAUAUACUGUAGAUAUACUGUAGGUUACUGCUCUUCACGCCGACAGGAAGACCAACUGAUCAAACCUGCCGCCGAUCGGUGCCUCUCCACGUCUUAACUCAUGUUACCCAUUCCUGGUCCGGUUUCAUCUGGAGACAUGCAGCUGCCUCAGAAAGAGAAGUAGCUCGAUCACGUAAUGUGUACUGUUGUUUAAUUUACCGUUACUGGCACGACUAAAGGUCCUUACACACAAGGAGCGUUUUUUUAUUAUUUCAGACGUCAAUAUUUUUUCCGAACCCGUAUCCUGUCAAUACAAGCGUUCACAUCAGCAACGUUUUCUCAUCCUGCAAUAUUGCGGCAUUUGUUUUUUCGGAUCAUGGUCGAUUUUUCCAAAGUUUCGCAUACUGUGUGUCCACUUCUGACCAAUCAGAUUUCAUGUUGUUGCGACGUCAGAUUCAAUGGUAUAUCCAACAUGGCCGACCGGCUGAUCGUUUACGUGUCGGAGAACAGAGUGAUUUUUGAUAAAAGACACAAAUAUUACAAAGAUAACAACCUGAAGGACAACUUGUGGAGAGUCAUAGCGUCGGAUUUCUUAUAUUACGAUGGUUUCUGUGCUUUAAACUUUUCCACCUUUGCCUUGACAAACAUUUGAUAUUUUUGUCUAUAAGAUCAUCGAGUCUGAUCUCUUCUAUAUCUUCUCUUCUGAUUUGAUGCUCAGAAAAAACUCACCCCGGAUCCGAAAGCUCACGCCCAUUUGAGGAGUCUUUAGAUUUCACUGUCCUGCCUUUAAAGCUACACCCAUGUGCCUCAUAGUGUUGUCACGCUAAUUGGCUUGUGUUCUGUGAGCGUGCUGCACAGUCACACACACAGACACACAUGCGCCCUGACAGCAAACAGUAAACAGUCUUACUCAGAUCUGCCAGGCUCUCCAGACUUGGACGCACUUGUUGGAUCUUUCGGAGUAUUUUGAUCUAAUUAACUUGGUCAUAAACCCCCGUCCACUCCUCUCUGUGUCUCUGUCUCCUUUUUUUCCUGCUUGCUUCUUUGCAGCUCUGAAUCAAUAUCAAAGCUUCUGCCUGCAGACCUUGGGUUUCUCACUGAUAGCUGUGUGAUGCUGCCUGCUGUGAGUUGUGUGCAUUUUUCCUUUCUUCUCUUUUAGCUUUGAAUUCUGCUCCACCAAUAAAAAACCACCACUCAGUAGCACUGGGUGGCUCUCUGCAAAGGAUUCCAGGGUUAUUGAUGGCAGCAACAUUUCCCUUUGUGUCCCGAUCGAUGGCUGGAGGUCCACAGUUGAAUUAUUGCUGCAGUGACAUGUCAGGGAACAGAAUAGCAGCAGCAGCAGCAACAGCAGCGGCCGCCGUGGGGACACUGACGUAGUGCUGUGCGUGAGUGCUUUUGUGCAGCAGAAUUAUUAUAGGAGUCAUUCACAAGAAAGAGGCAGAGUAAACACCUGAACCCACAGUAUUUUCAGGCUUUUGUGCACCUACAUCCUGUGCACUGUAAUCAGAUUCGAAUCAGACGUUCACGGGGGUGGUGUAGUCGACUCAGGCAGUGGAGCUAGAAAAGCAUUUGUUGCUCUUUUGAUACAGGAAAGAGUCUAAGAGUGUACCUGCAAGGAAAAAAGAAACUCUCCUGUGAUGAAUCUUAAUUUUUACAACCUUCAAAAACAGAAACUAGGAAUUAAUGGGGAAUUUUUGGGAUAGUCUUUAGUUUGAACACAGUUACAGCUGAGUGAUGUUUUUUAUUGCCUGUUUUACCUCAUCAAUACCAAUUUUUCAUCUAAGUCCAUAUCAACCAACUUUAACCAACCAGCUGAGGAAAUGAAAACACUUUGACACUGAUCAAAAACAACAGCAACGCUUCAUACUCAUGCACAGUCUUAAAUGCAUGUCCAAACACACUGGAAUUUUGUAUUUUGUAUUUUGUAUUCACCUUUCACCUACAUUUAUUUCCAUUCAGCAAGAUUUUAAGGAUACUUUCAACAUUUUCAUUUAAUCCUUGUUAUUUGAUCGUCUAAAUAAUCUGUAAGAGACCAUUAGAUGAGAUACUUAGGGGCCUGUUACACUACAGAUGUUUGAGCCAGAGUUGUCAAAUUUAAAUACAAAUGACCCAAAUUUAUUUAUUACAAAUGGAGCCAAUUCAAGUGAUGUCAAAAAACAGUGUUUGUUACAACCUUUCCCAUGACGUGUUGGACUCAUAGACUGUAUAUGGAAUAGGUGAAGCCUCCGUGAGAACAGCACCCUCUGGUGACGGGCUGCAGUAUAGGUCCUAAAUCCCGCCUCCUCCAGCAAUCUCUAUGGACCAACAGAAAUUAAUUACACAGAAUAUGAAUUUUUGCAAUGUUGAAAUGUAGUAACUGUAAGACUGGUUUGUUCUCAAGUCCUUUUUUUCUGUACAGCUCCAUUUUUAAAGGUUAUUAGGGGGUUCGGGGCGACACAGUGGUGUAGUGGUUAGCACUGUCGCCUCACAGCAAGAGGGUCCUGGGUUCAAAUCUGGGUCAGGACGUUUCUUUGUGCAGUUUGCAUCUUCUCCCUGUGUCUGGGUGGAUUUACUCCGGGUACUCAGGUUUCCUCCCACAUUCCAAAAGCAUGCAGAAGUGGGGUUAUGUUAAUUGGCCACUUUCAAAUUGCCCGUAGGUGUGAAUGUGAGCGUGGAUGGUUGUUCGCCCGAAGAUGCUGGGGUAUUUUAUUUUUGUAGAAUGGUAGGGGAAAGUCCCGCCUCCUUCGCCUCUGAUUGGCUAGAGAAGCAGGGAACGUCAUCACAUGCUCAAGCCAAACGCGGACUGUCGGCUCUGUACAUCAAACAGAACAUUACAGAAUAUCAUCGCAAGCCUGAAUCUCCAAACCCUAACUUUACAGACGAUGACGUUUCACAGCCAUUAGGAAGAACCAGUCGGAGCCCAGCACUUCUAGCCAAUCAGGGGCAAAGGAGGGCGGGACCUUCCCCUAUCCCUGACAUACUGCGAGCCAUUCGGCUUCAAACUCAUAUAAUGACGACAAGUAUAAACUGCAUAACUUUUAGCUAAGACACGACAGUUAAAUCCAAACAAAAUAGUGUCUGUGGAGAGACUCAGUGCACCUUUUCCAGCCUUUAAACUCACCAUGUGGGUCCAAGGCGAAAG
Molecule: long non-coding RNA, 5257 nt
Filed under: Xyrichtys novacula (pearly razorfish)
Lineage: Eukaryota; Metazoa; Chordata; Actinopteri; Labriformes; Labridae
Source: RNAcentral